AUCUCUCCUUGGCAGGGGAGAUACCAAGACCACAGAAGCCGUUUUCCAAGGGCAAGGCUGAUCCAUUGCCCUCUGGACGUGCAGACUCCUGCGAUGGGAAGCUUGACUGUUUAAAUCGUGGUAGUGGAGGACUGUGUUUCUGCUCCCCCCUU
RNAcentral lists this small nuclear RNA (152 nucleotides) under Dasypus novemcinctus (nine-banded armadillo). Its description in RNAcentral is "U1 spliceosomal RNA (ENSDNOG00000035145.1)". It matches the Rfam family "U1 spliceosomal RNA". Rfam says of the family: U1 is a small nuclear RNA (snRNA) component of the spliceosome (involved in pre-mRNA splicing). Its 5' end forms complementary base pairs with the 5' splice junction, thus defining the 5' donor site of an intron. Lineage: Eukaryota; Metazoa; Chordata; Mammalia; Cingulata; Dasypodidae. The record is from RNAcentral.